Molecule: ribosomal RNA, 494 nt
Filed under: uncultured bacterium
Lineage: Bacteria
Description: partial 16S ribosomal RNA
Rfam family: Bacterial small subunit ribosomal RNA
Source: RNAcentral
GACGAACGCUGGCGGCGUGCUUAACACAUGCAAGUCGAACGGAAAGGCCUGCUUUCCCUUGUGGAUUGCGGGUACUCGAGUGGCGAACGGGUGAGUAACACAUGAGUGAUCUGCCCCCAACUUGGGUAUAAGCCUGGGAAACUGGGUCUAAUUCCCGAUAGGACUGCAGGGUGGUGCCUGUGGUGGAAAACGAUUUUCUAGUGGUUGGGGAUGAGCUCGCGGCCUAUCAGCUUGUUGGUGGGGUAAUGGCCUACCAAGGCGGCGACGGGUAGCCGGCCUGAGAGGGUGGACGGCCACAUUGGGACUGAGAUCCGGCCCAGACUCCUACGGGAGGCAGCAGUGGGGAAGAUUGCACAAUGGGCGGAAGCCUGAUGCAGCGACGCCGCGUGGGGGAUGACGGCCUUCGGGUUGUAAACUCCUUUCGACCGCGAGGAAGCCACCUGGUUGGAAGGGUGGUGACGGUAGUGGUAGAAGAAGCACCGGCUAACUACGUG